GAUGAACGCUAGCGGCAGGCUUAAUACAUGCAAGUCGUGGGGCAGCAGGACUGUAGCAAUACAGUUGCUGGCGACUGGCAAACGGGUGCGGAACACGUACGCAAUCUACCCAGAACUGGUGAAUAGCCCUCCGAAAGGAGGAUUAAUACACCGUAAUAUUAUAAAGUGGCAUCACUUAAUAAUUAAAGCUCCGGCGGUUUUGGAUGAGCGUGCGGCCCAUUAGGUAGUUGGUUGAGGUAAUGGCUCACCAAGCCUGCGAUGGGUAACUGGUGUGAGAGCACGACCAGUCACACGGGCACUGAGACACGGGCACGACUCCUACGGGAGGCAGCAGUAAGGAAUAUUGGUCAAUGGACGCAAGUCUGAACCAGCCAUGCCGCGCGGAGGAUGAAGGCCCUCUGGGUUGUAAACUUCUUUUAUGGGGGACGAAAUCACUUAUUCUUAAGUGUCUGACGGUACCCCAGGAAUAAGCACCGGCUAACUCCGUGCCAGCCGCCGCGGUAA
This 504-nucleotide ribosomal RNA is filed under the name uncultured bacterium. RNAcentral's name for it is "partial 16S ribosomal RNA". It matches the Rfam family "Bacterial small subunit ribosomal RNA", at positions 28 to 523 of the family's 1533-position model. The record is from RNAcentral.